This 90-nucleotide transfer RNA is filed under the name Candidatus Peregrinibacteria bacterium CG11_big_fil_rev_8_21_14_0_20_46_8. RNAcentral describes it as "tRNA-Ser". It matches the Rfam family "tRNA". From Rfam's summary of the family: Transfer RNA (tRNA) molecules are approximately 80 nucleotides in length. Their secondary structure includes four short double-helical elements and three loops (D, anti-codon, and T loops). The record is from RNAcentral. Lineage: Bacteria; Candidatus Peregrinibacteriota.
GGAGAGAUGCCAGAGCGGUUGAAUGGGGUGCUCUCGAAAAGCACUAUACCCGCAAGGGUAUCGGGGGUUCGAAUCCCCCUCUCUCCGCCA